RNAcentral lists this long non-coding RNA (348 nucleotides) under Ananas comosus (pineapple). RNAcentral describes it as "long non-coding RNA (ACOM_LNC040828)". The record is from RNAcentral. Lineage: Eukaryota; Viridiplantae; Streptophyta; Magnoliopsida; Poales; Bromeliaceae.
UGCCAAAUUAUGAAAGGAAAUAUAGAGAGAGCAAAAGGAAACAAAGAAAAAAUAAAAAUUUUGAAAAUAUAGCAGAUGUAAAAUGACUAAAUUGGCUAUGUAUUAAAAGACAAAAAUAUUCUUUUUUGAGGUACCUGGUAAUCGGUACCUCUUCCAAAGUGACCUGCUAUUGCAGGUCACAAUUUAAAAAAAACUAAAUCUGAGUCAUUGAAUAUGCGUGAAUGAACGGUAACAAAAAAAUAUAUAUAUAUAUUUAACCUAUAGUUAACUAAAUUUUUCUAACGGAUUCUAACGGUAUUCUUAGAAUUUUUGUAAGUACAAUAUAUGAAAGUUGAACUUUAUAGAAAU